Molecule: ribosomal RNA, 487 nt
Filed under: Escherichia coli
Lineage: Bacteria; Pseudomonadati; Pseudomonadota; Gammaproteobacteria; Enterobacterales; Enterobacteriaceae
Description: partial 23S ribosomal RNA
Rfam family: Bacterial large subunit ribosomal RNA
Source: RNAcentral
GUCCUAAGGUAGCGAAAUUCCUUGUCGGGUAAGUUCCGACCCGCACGAAUGGCGUAACGAUGGCCACACUGUCUCCUCCCGAGACUCAGCGAAGUUGAAGUGGUUGUGAAGAUGCAAUCUACCCGCUGCUAGACGGAAAGACCCCGUGAACCUUUACUGUAGCUUUGCAUUGGACUUUGAAGUCACUUGUGUAGGAUAGGUGGGAGGCUUGGAAGCAGAGACGCCAGUCUCUGUGGAGUCGUCCUUGAAAUACCACCCUGGUGUCUUUGAGGUUCUAACCCAGACCCGUCAUCCGGGUCGGGGACCGUGCAUGGUAGGCAGUUUGACUGGGGCGGUCUCCUCCCAAAGCGUAACGGAGGAGUUCGAAGGUUACCUAGGUCCGGUCGGAAAUCGGACUGAUAGUGCAAUGGCAAAAGGUAGCUUAACUGCGAGACCGACAAGUCGGGCAGGUGCGAAAGCAGGACAUAGUGAUCCGGUGGUUCUGUAU